UCAGUUCAGACUGCAGGCUGCAACUCGCCUGCACGAAGUCGGAAUUGCUAGUAAUCGCAGGUCAGCAUACUACGGUGAAUACGUUCCCGGGCCUUGUACACACCGCCCGUCAAACCAUGAGAGUUGGCAACACCCGAAGUCGGUAGUCUAACCGCAAGGAGGACGCCGCCGAAGGUGGGGUUGAUGAUUAGGGUUAAGUCGUAACAAGGUAGC
This 213-nucleotide ribosomal RNA is filed under the name uncultured bacterium. RNAcentral's name for it is "partial 16S ribosomal RNA". It matches the Rfam family "Bacterial small subunit ribosomal RNA", at positions 1288 to 1500 of the family's 1533-position model. The record is from RNAcentral.